UGGUGUUAAUUCCACCUACAUGGGACAGU
Molecule: non-coding RNA, 29 nt
Filed under: Mus musculus (house mouse)
Lineage: Eukaryota; Metazoa; Chordata; Mammalia; Rodentia; Muridae
Source: RNAcentral